Molecule: ribosomal RNA, 495 nt
Filed under: uncultured bacterium
Lineage: Bacteria
Description: partial 16S ribosomal RNA
Rfam family: Bacterial small subunit ribosomal RNA
Source: RNAcentral
GACGAACGCUGGCGGCGUGCCUAAUACAUGCAAGUAGAACGCUGAAGGAGGAGCUUGCUCUUCUGGAUGAGUUGCGAACGGGUGAGUAACGCGUAGGUAACCUGCCUGGUAGCGGGGGAUAACUAUUGGAAACGAUAGCUAAUACCGCAUAAGAGUAGAUGUUGCAUGACAUUUACUUAAAAGGUGCAAUUGCAUCACUACCAGAUGGACCUGCGUUGUAUUAGCUAGUUGGUGGGGUAACGGCUUACCAAGGCGACGAUACAUAGCCGACCUGAGAGGGUGAUCGGCCACACUGGGACUGAGACACGGCCCAGACUCCUACGGGAGGCAGCAGUAGGGAAUCUUCGGCAAUGGACGGAAGUCUGGCCGAGCAACGCCGCGUGAGUGAAGAAGGUUUUCGGAUCGUAAAGCUCUGUUGUAAGAGAAGAACGAGUGUGAGAGUGGAAAGUUCACACUGUGACGGUAUCUUACCAGAAAGGGACGGCUAACUACGUG